CCUCCCAGCUUUGUUUGCUGAAUACUUUUUUCACUCUUGUUUUUACAGAUCUUUCCCUAGAAGACAAGGAUGAGGACGUCCACAGCCAAAGGACAGCACAGUUGCCAGAGAUGGCGUUACUCACCCUCUCAGAGUGCCUGACGGGUCCCUGCUAACUCGUGUGCGGUCACUGCCCCCACCCCGUGGAGGUCGUUCCCGGCUGGAGGAGGGCCCUGCCCAUUCCAGGCCUUCCUGGACCCUUGUGGCUCCACCUUUUCGUGACACUCUCCUCUGAACAACUACAACCUUCCCUAAGACAACCUGCUGAGAGUCACAGCUUGACUGGCCUAUGGGGCCGUGGCCCAGAACCACCUGAGAGACAGCAGGUUUUUAUAGAGAAAUAUUGACUUCCAGAAGAAGAGUCCUGCUGGGAAGCAAAAGGGUCGAGCAGGUGCAUGUCCUUGCAGUUAAUUUCCCAGGCUGUUUCCAGAGGAUGACACGUUAUGUUAAGCCAAUGUCCCUUCUUCUGCCCCCCAUCAGGCGUAGACCCCCUCAGGGUCCGUUGGGAAUAUUUACCUUCCUCAAUCAGGUUUCAUCUUCCCCCUGAAGGCUUCUCCUGAUGGUGACUCCAUCUCUGUAUCCGCAGAGCUCAUUAGCUUGUUUUCAGUGUUACAGCCUCCUGCACACCUUCUCUCACUGUUCAUAUCACACUGAGGGGUAACCGUUUGUCCUUCCAUUGCUUCUUUUUUUCCCCCCGUUUCUUAUUCAUUUUUGAGAGACAGCACGAGCAGGAGAGGAUCAGAGAGAGAUG
This is a long non-coding RNA of Suricata suricatta (meerkat), 790 nucleotides long. RefSeq lists it as uncharacterized. The record is from RefSeq and is a predicted model, not a curated record. The transcript is spliced from 3 exons. NCBI's taxonomy places the organism in Eukaryota, Metazoa, Chordata, Mammalia, Carnivora, Herpestidae.